GAUGAACGCUGGCGGCGUGCCUAAUACAUGCAAGUCGAGCGAACAGACGAGGAGCUUGCUCCUCUGACGUUAGCGGCGGACGGGUGAGUAACACGUGGAUAACCUACCUAUAAGACUGGGAUAACUUCGGGAAACCGGAGCUAAUACCGGAUAAUAUAUUGAACCGCAUGGUUCAAUAGUGAAAGACGGUUUUGCUGUCACUUAUAGAUGGAUCCGCGCCGCAUUAGCUAGUUGGUAAGGUAACGGCUUACCAAGGCAACGAUGCGUAGCCGACCUGAGAGGGUGAUCAGCCACACUGGAACUGAGACACGGUCCAGACUCCUACGGGAGGCAGCAGUAGGGAAUCUUCCGCAAUGGGCGAAAGCCUGACGGAGCAACGCCGCGUGAGUGAUGAAGGUCUUCGGAUCGUAAAGCUCUGUUAUUAGGGAAGAACAAAUGUGUAAGUAACUAUGCACGUCUUGACGGUACCUAAUCAGAAAGCCACGGCUAACUACGUG
This 497-nucleotide ribosomal RNA is filed under the name uncultured bacterium. Its description in RNAcentral is "partial 16S ribosomal RNA". It matches the Rfam family "Bacterial small subunit ribosomal RNA", at positions 28 to 507 of the family's 1533-position model. The record is from RNAcentral.